GAUGAACGCUGGCGGCGUGCCUAAUACAUGCAAGUCGAGCGAACAGACGAGGAGCUUGCUCCUCUGACGUUAGCGGCGGACGGGUGAGUAACACGUGGAUAACCUACCUAUAAGACUGGGAUAACUUCGGGAAACCGGAGCUAAUACCGGAUAAUAUAUUGAACCGCAUGGUUCAAUAGUGAAAGACGGUUUUGCUGUCACUUAUAGAUGGAUCCGCGCCGCAUUAGCUAGUUGGUAAGGUAACGGCUUACCAAGGCAACGAUGCGUAGCCGACCUGAGAGGGUGAUCGGCCACACUGGAACUGAGACACGGUCCAGACUCCUACGGGAGGCAGCAGUAGGGAAUCUUCCGCAAUGGGCGAAAGCCUGACGGAGCAACGCCGCGUGAGUGAUGAAGGUCUUCGGAUCGUAAAGCUCUGUUAUUAGGGAAGAACAAAUGUGUAAGUAACUAUGCACGUCUUGACGGUACCUAUCAGAAAGCCACGGCUAACUACGUG
RNAcentral lists this ribosomal RNA (496 nucleotides) under uncultured bacterium. RNAcentral describes it as "partial 16S ribosomal RNA". It matches the Rfam family "Bacterial small subunit ribosomal RNA", at positions 28 to 507 of the family's 1533-position model. The record is from RNAcentral.